This 468-nucleotide ribosomal RNA is filed under the name uncultured bacterium. Its description in RNAcentral is "partial 16S ribosomal RNA". It matches the Rfam family "Bacterial small subunit ribosomal RNA", at positions 28 to 507 of the family's 1533-position model. The record is from RNAcentral.
GACGAACGCUGGCGGCGUGCUUAACACAUGCAAGUCGAACGGAAAGGCCCUGCUUUUGUGGGGUGCUCGAGUGGCGAACGGGUGAGUAACACGUGAGUAACCUGCCCUUGACUUUGGGAUAACUUCAGGAAACUGGGGCUAAUACCGGAUAGGAGCUCCUGCUGCAUGGUGGGGGUUGGAAAGUUUCGGCGGUUGGGGAUGGACUCGCGGCUUAUCAGCUUGAUGGUGGGGUAGUGGCUUACCAAGGCUUUGACGGGUAGCCGGCCUGAGAGGGUGACCGGCCACAUUGGGACUGAGAUACGGCCCAGACUGCUACGGGAGGCAGCAGUGGGGAAUAUUGCACAAUGGGCGGAAGCCUGAUGCAGCAACGCCGCGUGCGGGAUGACGGCCUUCGGGUGGUAAACCGCUUUCGCCUGUGACGAAGCGUGAGUGACGGUAAUGGGUAAAGAAGCACCGGCUAACUACGUG